UCCCUGAUGGUCCAGUAGUUAGGGCUCCACACUUCCACUGCAGGGAACACAGGUUCUAUCCCUAUUUGGGGAA
This 73-nucleotide transfer RNA is filed under the name Bos taurus (domestic cattle). It matches the Rfam family "tRNA". From Rfam's summary of the family: Transfer RNA (tRNA) molecules are approximately 80 nucleotides in length. Their secondary structure includes four short double-helical elements and three loops (D, anti-codon, and T loops). The record is from Rfam by way of RNAcentral. Lineage: Eukaryota; Metazoa; Chordata; Mammalia; Artiodactyla; Bovidae. RNAcentral also lists the same sequence under 1 other name.